This 936-nucleotide ribosomal RNA is filed under the name uncultured bacterium. RNAcentral's name for it is "bacterial SSU rRNA". It matches the Rfam family "Bacterial small subunit ribosomal RNA", at positions 51 to 979 of the family's 1533-position model. The record is from RNAcentral.
ACACAUGCAAGUCGAGGGGCAGCAUGAUUGAAGCUUGCUUCAAUUGAUGGCGACCGGCGCACGGGUGAGUAACGCGUAUCCAACCUUCCGUACACUCAGGGAUAGCCUUUCGAAAGAAAGAUUAAUACCUGAUGGUAUGAUGAGAUUGCAUGAUAGCAUCAUUAAAGAUUUAUCGGUGUACGAUGGGGAUGCGUUCCAUUAGGUAGUAGGCGGGGUAACGGCCCACCUAGCCUACGAUGGAUAGGGGUUCUGAGAGGAAGGUCCCCCACAUUGGAACUGAGACACGGUCCAAACUCCUACGGGAGGCAGCAGUGAGGAAUAUUGGUCAAUGGACGAGAGUCUGAACCAGCCAAGUAGCGUGAAGGAUGAAGGUCUUACGGAUUGUAAACUUCUUUUAUAAGGGAAUAAAACCUCCCACGUGUGGGAGCUUGUAUGUACCUUAUGAAUAAGCAUCGGCUAACUCCGUGCCAGCAGCCGCGGUAAUACGGAGGAUGCGAGCGUUAUCCGGAUUUAUUGGGUUUAAAGGGAGCGCAGACGGGUCGUUAAGUCAGCUGUGAAAGUUUGGGGCUCAACCUUAAAAUUGCAGUUGAUACUGGCGUCCUUGAGUGCGGUUGAGGUGUGCGGAAUUCGUGGUGUAGCGGUGAAAUGCUUAGAUAUCACGAAGAACUCCGAUUGCGAAGGCAGCACACUAAGCCGUAACUGACGUUCAUGCUCGAAAGUGUGGGUAUCAAACAGGAUUAGAUACCCUGGUAGUCCACACGGUAAACGAUGGAUACUCGCUGUUGGCGAUAUACGGUCAGCGGCUUAGCGAAAGCGUUAAGUAUCCCACCUGGGGAGUACGCCGGCAACGGUGAAACUCAAAGGAAUUGACGGGGGCCCGCACAAGCGGAGGAACAUGUGGUUUAAUUCGAUGAUACGCGAGGAACCUUACCCGGG